AUUGAACGCUGGCGGCAGGCCUAACACAUGCAAGUCGAGCGGAUGAAGGGAGCUUGCUCCUGGAUUCAGCGGCGGACGGGUGAGUAAUGCCUAGGAAUCUGCCUGGUAGUGGGGGAUAACGUCCGGAAACGGGCGCUAAUACCGCAUACGUCCUGAGGGAGAAAGUGGGGGAUCUUCGGACCUCACGCUAUCAGAUGAGCCUAGGUCGGAUUAGCUAGUUGGUGGGGUAAAGGCCUACCAAGGCGACGAUCCGUAACUGGUCUGAGAGGAUGAUCAGUCACACUGGAACUGAGACACGGUCCAGACUCCUACGGGAGGCAGCAGUGGGGAAUAUUGGACAAUGGGCGAAAGCCUGAUCCAGCCAUGCCGCGUGUGUGAAGAAGGUCUUCGGAUUGUAAAGCACUUUAAGUUGGGAGGAAUGGCAGUAAGUUAAUACCUUGCUGUUUUGACGUUACCAACAGAAUAAGCACCGGCUAACUUCGUG
This 484-nucleotide ribosomal RNA is filed under the name uncultured bacterium. RNAcentral describes it as "partial 16S ribosomal RNA". It matches the Rfam family "Bacterial small subunit ribosomal RNA", at positions 30 to 507 of the family's 1533-position model. The record is from RNAcentral.